CUACGUAGGAGACAAGCGUUAUCCGGAUUUACUGGGUGUAAAGGGCGUGUAGGCGGUUUAGCAAGUCAGAAGUGAAAUUCCCGGGCUUAACUUGGGCGCUGCUUCUGAAACUGCUUUACUUGAGUGCUGGAGAGGAUAGUGGAAUUCCUAGUGUAGCGGUAAAAUGCACAGAUAUUAGGAGGAACACCGGUGGCGAAGGCGGCUAUCUGGACAGUAACUGACGCUGAGGCGCGAAAGCACGGGGAGCAAACAGGAUUAGAUACCCUGGUAGUCCGUGCCGCAAACGAUGAAUACUAGGUGUAGGGGGUAUCGACUCCCUCUGUGCCGCAGUUAACACAUUAAGUAUUCCACCUGGGGAGUACGGCCGCAAGGUUGAAACUCAAAGGAAUUGACGGGG
This 397-nucleotide ribosomal RNA is filed under the name uncultured bacterium. RNAcentral's name for it is "partial 16S ribosomal RNA". It matches the Rfam family "Bacterial small subunit ribosomal RNA", at positions 523 to 918 of the family's 1533-position model. The record is from RNAcentral.